Non-coding RNA from Sesamum indicum (sesame), 905 nucleotides. The record is from RefSeq and is a predicted model, not a curated record. NCBI's taxonomy places the organism in Eukaryota, Viridiplantae, Streptophyta, Magnoliopsida, Lamiales, Pedaliaceae.
GACAGUGUAAUUAACCCUUGAUAACGUUACUCGUUUCUAUUAAUAUAUGUCCUCUGGCCUAAAUGGAUAAUUCAUCUUUGCGGACAGGAAAUUCCCAAAUUUAAGCAAAACAGGAAGUUGGAUUACAUGCCAAAAAUUUCUUGAAAAUGCACGAAAAUAGGAUACUCUCACAUUCCCACCAGCCCAUCACUUUCUGGUUUGUUUAUGUCCAAUCUUUCUUGCAUUUCAGUUUUAAGUAUAAAUAAUCAGCCGCGUUCCCGUUGAAGCAUGAAUCAUUACCAGAACAUCUGGGAAUGAAGCAAAAAUUCCACGACAGCCCAAUGAUUGGGAAUUCUAGGUGUAGGUGAGCUGCGAGCCGAGGGAUGGGAUGAACGACAGAUAGUCAGAGGAACAAUGACACGACAGCCAAAACUGACGAGGAGAAGAAGCAUGAAACGGAAGAGAAAGAUGAGUGCAAAGACGAGGAUGAGAAAGGAGAGGAAGAUGAAGAGAAAGCUUCUCACAAGGAAAAGGAAGAUACGGAUCCAGAUGAGAAGACGGCGAAGAAUCCUUAAGAUCAGAAGGAUCCAACCACAGUGAAGGUCCAGUACGACAAGAUCGAAAGCAAGAUGGCAAAAUCUUUAAGCAGAUUAAUAAAGAUGAUAACUUUCUUUUUUUUCAAUGGGUGAAGUAGCUGUAGGGUAUGAAAACUAAUAUGUUCAUGUAUGUGCUCUAUACUUGACAGAGAAACAGAGUAAUUUUAAAAAAUGUAUAUGAAAACGUAACGAUUUUACUGCCCAAACACUUCUCAGAGCACAUGUACAAUUUCAGCAAACAGAAGUUAACUAGACAACUAACGUAUAGGGCAACGGUAUAUCCACAAUGUAAAGAAAGAAAUAUUUAAACACUCGAAAGACAGGAUGCAA